This 439-nucleotide ribosomal RNA is filed under the name uncultured bacterium. RNAcentral describes it as "partial 16S ribosomal RNA". It matches the Rfam family "Bacterial small subunit ribosomal RNA", at positions 338 to 795 of the family's 1533-position model. The record is from RNAcentral.
CCUACGGGAGGCAGCAGUGGGGAAUAUUGCACAAUGGGCGAAAGCCUGAUGCAGCAACGCCGCGUGAGCGAUGAAGGCCUUCGGGUCGUAAAGCUCUGUUCUCAAGGAAGAUAAUGACGGUACUUGAGGAGGAAGCCCCGGCUAACUACGUGCCAGCAGCCGUGGUAAUACGUGGGGGGCUAGCGUUAUCCGGAAUUACUGGGCGUAAUGGGGGCGUAGGUGGUUUCUUAAGUCAGAGGUGAAAGGCUAGGGCUCAACCGUAGUAAGCCUUUGAAACUGGGGAACUUGAGUGCAGGAGAGGUAGGUGGAAUUCCUGGUGUAGCGGUGAAAUGCGUAGAUAUUACGAAGAACACCGGUUGCGAAGGCAGCUCUCUGAACUGUAACUGACACUGAGGCACGAAAGCGUGGGGAGCAAACAGGAUUAGAUACCCGUGUAGUC